CACUGGGCCCCGUCAGCCCAAGGGUUCCUUCGUCGCUUAGCUUCGCGUCGGCCCGGCCCGGCCCGGCCAGCGGGCAGAUGCUCCGAGCUGCCGCUGCCGACGCCGCCGACCCGGCCGGUGGCGGUGUGGGAGGCGGGCGUCCGGCCCCGGGCCGCUGAGUGUGACGGACGGGGCCGGGGGCCGCCGGGCGCCGCGGCGUCGGCGGCUCCGCGCGGACCAUGUAUUUCCUGAGCGGCUGGCCCAAGAGGCUGCUGUGCCCUCUGGGGAGCCCGGCCGAGGCGCCUAUCCACGUUCAGUCCGACCCCCAGAGGACUUUCUUCGCCGUGCUGGCCCCGGUCCGCCUCAGCAUCUGGUACAGCCGCCCUAGUGUGUUAAUUGUAACCUACAAGGAACCUGAAAAAUCAUCUUCUCAGUUUGGAUUCUACAAACAAGCUGAAUGGAGGCCAGAUAGUACCAUGAUAGCUGUGUCAACUGCAUAUGGCUACAUCUUGUUUUUUCAUAUUACAUCUACAAGAGGGGACAAGUACCUUUAUGAACCAGUGUAUCCCAAAGGAAGUCCACAAAUGAAGGGGACACCCCAUUUUAAGGAAGAACAGUGUGCUCCAGCAUUAAAUUUAGAAAUGAAGAAAAUAUUGGAUUUGCAAGCACCCAUCAUGAGUUUGCAGUCCAUGCUGGAGGAUCUCCUCGUUGCUACUUCUGAUGGACUUCUUCAUCUUAUUCACUGGGAAGGAAUGACAAACGGAAGGAAAGCUAUUAAUCUUUGCACAGUACCCUUUUCAGUAGAUCUGCAGUCGUCUAGAGCAGGUUCAUUCCUGGGUUUUGCAGAUGUGCACAUCAGAGACAUGGAAUACUGUGCCACACUUGAUGGAUUUGCUGUUGUGUUUAACGAUGGUAAAAUUGGAUUUAUUACUCCAGUGUCAAGUAGAUUUACUGCAGAGCAGCUCCAUGGAGUUUGGCCACAAGAUGUUGUUGAUGGAACUUGUGUAGCAGUAAAUAACAAGUACCGACUCAUGGCGUUUGGUUGUGCAAGUGGUUCUGUACAGGUUUAUACAAUAGAUAACACCACUGGAGCUAUGCUGCUGUCUCAUAAACUAGAGCUAACAGCAAAACAAUAUCCCGAUAUUUGGAACAAAACAGGAGCUGUUAAAUUGGUCAGAUGGUCUCCUGACAAUAGUGUUGUAAUAGUGACCUGGGAAAAUGGAGGCCUAUCUUUAUGGAGUGUGUUUGGAGCCCAGCUGAUUUGUACACUCGGAGGAGACUUUGCUUAUAGGUCUGAUGGUACCAAAAAAGAUCCCCUUAAGAUCAACUCUAUGAGCUGGGGUGCAGAAGGCUAUCACCUCUGGGUAAUCAGCGGAUUUGGUGCUCAAAGUACUGAAAUUGAGUCUGACUCCAAGAGUAUAGUUAAACAGCCUGGCAUUCUGCUAUUUCAGUUUAUCAAGAGUGUACUCACUGUAAACCCUUGUAUGAGUAACCAGGAGCAAGUGCUGCUUCAGGGGGAGGAUCGAUUGUACUUGAACUGUGGAGAGGCCUCACAAACCCAGCACGCCAGGGGUUCCUCGGCGCACCCUGAGCAUAAGGCUGCUGGGGCCAAGAGCCCCUUUGCAGAUAGCGGUGUAGAGUCUCAGGGUUUAAGCACUUUGCUUGGACAUCGGCAUUGGCAUGUGGUGCAGAUUUCCAACACCUAUCUAGAGAGCAAUUGGCCUAUACGGUUUUCAGCUAUUGAUAAGCUUGGACAGAAUAUUGCUGUGGUUGGCAAGUUUGGUUUUGCACAUUACUCUUUACUCACCAAAAAAUGGAAACUUUUUGGAAACAUUACCCAGGAGCAAAAUAUGAUUGUGACUGGUGGCUUAGCCUGGUGGAAUGAUUUUGUUGUCCUGGCAUGUUAUAACAUAAGUGACCAUCAAGAAGAGCUCAGAGUUUAUUUGCGAACAUCAAAUCUGGACAAUGCCUUUGCUCACAUCACCAAAGCACAAGCAGAAACAUUACUGCUCAGUGUCUUCCGGGACAUGGUAAUAGUAUUUAGAGCCGACUGUUCAAUAUGCCUUUACAGUAUUGAAAGAAAAUCUGAUGGUCCCACCACUACAGCUGGUAUUCAGGUUCUUCAAGAAGUCUCCAUGUCGCGCUACAUUCCUCACCCUUUCCUUGUGGUGUCUGUCACUCUGACGUCAGUGAGCACAGAGAAUGGGAUCACCCUGAAAAUGCCACAGCAGGCUCGCGAUGCAGAGAGCAUUAUGCUAAAUCUCGCAGGACAGCUCAUCAUGAUGCAGAGGGACAGAUCGGGGCCUCAGAUCCGGGAGAAGGACAGUCACCCUAACCAAAGGAAGCUUCUGCCAUUCUGUCCUCCCGUUGUACUGGCCCAGUCCGUUGAAAAUGUCUGGACCACGUGCCGAGCAAAUAAACAAAAGCGUCACCUUCUGGAGGCCCUGUGGCUGAGCUGUGGAGGUGCAGGGAUGAAAGUUUGGCUCCCUCUCUUCCCCAGGGAUCACCGCAAGCCCCAUUCCUUCUUGUCCCAGCGGAUCAUGCUGCCUUUCCACAUCAAUAUUUACCCCCUGGCUGUUCUGUUUGAAGACGCGUUAGUCCUUGGUGCUGUCAAUGACACUUUGCUCUAUGAUUCUUUGUACACGCGCAACAGUGCUCGGGAACAGCUGGAGGUGCUCUUCCCUUACUGUGUCGUGGAGAGGACCUCCCAGAUCUACCUCCACCACAUUCUGCGUCAGCUGCUGGUCAGGAACCUUGGGGAGCAGGCCUUGCUCUUGGCCCAGUCCUGUGCUGCAUUACCUUACUUCCCUCACGUGCUGGAGCUCAUGCUCCACGAAGUGCUGGAGGAAGAAGCUACCUCACGGGAACCCAUUCCCGACCCUCUGCUUCCCACUGUGGCAAAAUUCAUCACCGAGUUCCCCCUCUUCCUGCAGACGGUUGUUCAUUGUGCCAGGAAGACUGAAUAUGCCCUGUGGAAUUACCUUUUUGCAGCCGUUGGAAACCCCAAGGACUUGUUUGAGGAAUGCUUGAUGGCUCAGGACUUGGACACAGCUGCCUCUUACCUUAUUAUCUUACAGAAUAUGGAAGUUCCGGCAGUAAGUAGGCAACAUGCUACCCUUCUGUUCAACACAGCCCUGGAACAAGGCAAGUGGGACCUAUGUCGACACAUGAUUCGAUUCCUUAAAGCCAUUGGCUCUGGAGAAUCUGAGACCCCUCCAUCCACACCUACAGCUCAGGAACCCAGUUCAAGUGGUGGAUUUGAGUUCUUCAGGAAUCGAAGCAUCAGUUUGUCCCAGUCAGCUGAGAAUGUUCCUGCUAGUAAAUUCAGCUUACAGAAAACACUGAGUAUGCCAUCCGGCCCUUCUGGGAAAAGAUGGAGCAGAGACAGUGACUGUGCUGAGAACAUGUACAUUGAUAUGAUGCUCUGGAGACACGCCCGGCGUCUCUUAGAAGAAGUUCGGCUGAAGGACCUCGGCUGCUUUGCAGCCCAGCUGGGCUUUGAACUCAUCAGUUGGCUGUGCAAGGAGCGCACCCGAGCCGCGCGGGUGGACAACUUUGUGCUGGCCCUGAAGAGACUCCACAAAGACUUCCUGUGGCCACUUCCCAUCACCCCAGCCUCUUCUGUCAGCUCUCCUUUCAAGAAUGGAAAAUACCGAGCAGGAGAGCAGCUGCUGAAGUCUCAGUCAGCGGACCCUUUUCUAAACCUCGAGAUGGACGCUGGGGUCUCUACUGUACAGCGAAGUCAGAGCUGGCUCGGCAGCAUCGGCCCCGCCCACCAUGAGAUAGACACGGCCUCAUCCCAUGGACCACAAAUGCAAGACGCCUUCCUGUCACCUUUAUCUACUAAAGGUGAUGAAUGCAGUAUUGGUUCAGCCACAGAUUUGACGGAAAGUAGCUCCAUGGUGGACGGAGACUGGACAAUGGUGGAUGAAAACUUCUCCACACUCAGCUUAACUCAGUCGGAGCUGGAGCACAUCUCCAUGGAGUUGGCCAGUAAGGGGCCUCAUAAAUCCCAGGUCCAGCUUCGGUACUUGCUGCACAUGUUCAUGGAGGCAGGGUGUCUAGACUGGUGCAUCGUCAUAGGCCUGAUUCUCCGAGAAUCCUCAGUAAUCAGCCAGAUCCUGCUGCUCAUCCAGUCUUCGGAGGUGGAUGGAGAGAUGUUACAGAACAUAAAGACAGGGCUACAUGCGGUAGACCGAUGGGCCUCUACGGAUUGUCCUGGAUAUAAGCCAUUCUUAAACAUCAUUAAGCCACAAGUACAGAAGUUCAGUGAGCUGACAGAGGAGCAGGUCCAGCCUGAAGCCUUCCAGCCAAUAACUGCGGGUAAGACUCCUGAACACACUGGGCCCCGGGCAGAGGAAAGCCGGGGCCCCUCGGGCCAUGGAAGCCUCCCCCAGGGCGAGGUCGGAGGCAGCGGUCUGGUCGGCAGGAACGAGGAGGACGCAGCCCGAGCAGAAGAGGAGGAAUCCUUUCAAGACGGGACUUACGACUGUUCUGUGUCCUAACGGCAGCGGCGUGCCAUCACCACGGGCAGUGUUAACUUGCAGCGGCAUGUGCAACUGAGGAAACUGGCCUAGCUGGACGAUUUAACCAGGGAGAGAACUCAGAGACUCUGAUUUCAAUGCGCUUCCAUUUAAGAAUCCCAGAAUGUUAUACUGUGGAUAUGGGCAAACUAGUACGUGGAAAGACAGAAGACAAGCAGUAUAUCGAAGAAGAACAAAGCCUGACAGGAUGGAUACCACCCACCUUCGAGACUUGAUCAAGACAGCAUCGUGAUGGCAAAAGACACAAACAGUCAUGGUCCUUUAACAUGUGGCUCCUCGGCAGUGUCAGAUACCCUGCCAAGUCCUGGUGCAGAGUCUCUCGGGACAAGAUACAACCUGCCCACCACAUGCUGUGCCUCCUGCCACCUCCACCCAGCUCCCACCCACAGCUGUCCUCAAACCUCCAUGGAGGCUACAGUCUGCACAUCCAUUCCCUCUUCUCCAAACCGUGAGGCUCAUCUUCCGCCCUGUCCCGCAUUUUCUGGAUGCAGUUUGGUAAUGGGGGUGAGGGAAAUGCAGUCCCAGAGCAGAAGAGGAGGAGGGGGGCCUGUGUUUGCAUCCCGCUCUCUUAAAUUUCACUUUUAUUUCUGCCUUAAAUGUCCCAUCUUCCAUCACUCUAGGUUCCGAAACGGGUGCAAAAUAAAACGAAGAGAAGCGCGAGAAGGGUCUGCGCGGCGUGCGCACGUGUGAGCUGUCUCGUUCCUCGUGAGGGUCCUGAUGUCACUGAGCACCACCCGGGACACCUGCUACCCCACUGCCAGACGGGAGAGUGCCUGCUUCCUGGCAAAUAUACUACAAACCCCCAAGGACUGAAAGGAACGCUUUCUGAAAUCCGCAUUCCGAUUCAGUUCUCCACGAUCCAAGGAGCGCAGGCCGCCUCUGCCUCAACCACUCCGACCGCUACACGUCAACAUGGAAUCACGACUGACUGACGCCACCAGUGUCCAAGAGCCACGCGGCCACUUCACGUGAGGAUGAAAACUAAACGAGGUUUCCGGGUAUUCCAGCAGGCGUUCUCCUGAGGUUUUCCUAGUAAAAUCUAACCUAGCAGGUGAUAUACUUUAAUCCUCUCCCUAUGCUUGCUAAGAUUUCCUCACUUUGGAGUCAUUUUCAGUUUCCACAGUGAAGAUUUCAGGGUUUAUUUUGUCCAGUUCCACGUGGGACAGAACUGAAAUGCCCCACAUUCUGAUCAUCUCCUAUGAGCCUUCAUCCACUGGCCCUGAUUUAAAUACACUGGGGACCCAGUUUCUAACUGAGCUGAUUCUGGAUCAGAACCUCAUCCACGUAUGAUGAAACCCCACCAACUCCGUUCACCUUCACAGCAGCAAAACCAUCCGCUAACACGUACAGAGAAUUUAAAGGCUUAAUAUUAAAACCAAAGGAAGUAAACCCUGCAAACCACAAAGAACAGUUUAGAAUUUUCCAUCCAUCCACCCCCCGAAAAUGCCAGUAAGGACCUGAUGAUUGUAUCACAGGCACGAUGGCUGGAACGCUCAGACUUCUUUCAGCUGAGCACAAGCAACAGUGUGCAGAAGCAGCACUCUCCUGGGCUAGAUGCACAGGUGCGCAUACAACUCUUUACGGCCUCCUUAAGAGACUUCCGGGGAUGGUGCGGGCCAGGCACAUGGUAUUCUUACGUGCUGUCUCUCAAUCCUGACCUCCAUGAGAUGUCCUUUACUGAAUCGGUGUGGAAAGGCCCACCAUCAUCUCCGUGGAGGAAAGCACUAUAAUAAAGUCACAACUACUCUUCUGUGUAGUCCCCUAGCUGCAAAUCCUGCAGUGUGCCUAUGGGCGUUCAGGAGUUGCUUCCUAUUCUUCCCAAUUCCAAUGGAAAGAGCCACAACACAGACGCCUGACUCCACCAGCGGGGCCAGACCGGAGUCCUGGAAAGUACGGACGCCGUGCCGAGGGCAGAGCUUGCCCAGAGCCCGCUCUAACACAGGGGGGUCCGCGUGGGGUCUGCCUUCUCUCUGGACAGCUGCAGGGAGGGCAAAGGCAGGACCGUCCCUGUAAGGGCAGAAUGCCGACACCAGAAUUACAAGGCCUGUGACGCUCUGCAUCCAUACGUGUCCACCCGAGGAGAGGGGCUCCGUUACGAACUCUGCGGCCCCAGCAGCCAGGUAGCUGAACGGUAAAGGAAGGAGCCUCAUCAGAACCAGUCUUCCUCCGCCAGCUCUAAAAACACUAAUAAAACCACCACGUAUUUAUUAACCUUUGCCUCUAAUUAGGAAUUGUUCUAAAAAUCCACCACCAAGCAAUCUCUACCAGUUCUCACCUGGUGUGCGUUCUCCAAAUUCACGUUCAGCUGGUUUGAAGGCUGUGAGGAGAGGUACGACCAGAGCACUCGGGAGGACCAGGACACAAAACUAAAACCCCAUUUCCCAUCUUCUUACCACACCAAACCUACUUUCUGCACACACAUGACUGUUUCUUUUGCUUAAGUGUUUCCAAGUAUAAGCAACACAAUUUCACAGAAUCGACUGUGGCUAAACUCAUCACAUAUUCAUAUAAAGCAUACAGGAAGAACUAUUUUUUAAAUGUCUUUUCCUUACAAAAUAGGAAGACAGGAUCAUCGUACAACCAGCCAAAAUGGAAGCCAGCACGACGUCAGGUGGGAUUUCUGUACCACUCCUCCCAAGGAUGGGGGUAAACAUCUCGAAUACUGCCCAGAUGAGGUACAGUGCGUAAAGAUAAGGAACAAACAUCCCCGAGAGGUACAAGGCAAUAAAUUUUCCUUGGGCACCUAGGGAAAAAGAGAAAGAGAUCACACAUCUUUGAAAUUCUACAGUGAGACACAGAUUUACAUAGCACUGCUGUACCUAACACAGAACAUUUCACUCAGGGACGUUAAAAUACAAGUAAGAAUGAAAUGGAACGUAGGUAAUACAUCAGCAUGCAUUCAUAAAUGUGAGAAUGGGAUGGGGUAUAAGGUAGAAAAUAAAAAUCCGUGUGAUAUGAAAAUUUAAAAACAACAAACAAAAAAAACCCAAAACACAACACAGCAAGAAUCUUGAGACCCUAGCCCAAAAGACCAAAAAAAAGAAACAAUUCCCACAAGUCCUGUCUUAUUCAUUUUAAGGUAUUUUCCCAUUUGCAUAAAAACCCAAUAUACCCUACCAUGCUGCUUAAAGUCUUUGCGCGUGCAAAACUUUGUGAGCAAGGGAAACGCCACCCAGACAGCACUAAUAAACGCCGAGCAAAGUCCUUGAGACGUGAGAGCCGUAAGGGAAACACAGUGCACAAACAGCGAGAUGUCAAAGAACACUUCUCCCAGAUACCGGUCGCUGGCAUUCUGAAAGAAAGAGAGAUAUACCAGUAAUCUCAUUCAUGGGCAUUCAUAAAGAUCUAAUAUUGUGAUAAAAUUUCCAUCCCUCAGAAGAGUUAUUUUGUUUCAAAGAGCAUUUUACACUUUAAGUAAACACUACCUCCUGUCAUGACGUAACGGAUUUAAAUUGCUGCACAGGAAAGGGGCAUUUAGGAAGAUGGGGUAAAAACAUUACUCGUGGGGUGUCUGGGUGGCUCAGUCAGUUAAGCUUCCAACUCUUGGCUGGUUUCGGCUCAGGUCAUGAUCUCACGGUUCGUGGGUUCGAGCCCCGCAUUAGGCUCUCUGUUGUCAGUGUGGAGCCUGCUCCGGAUCCUUUGUCCCCUUAUCUCCGUCCCUCCCCAACUAGCGCUCUCCUUUCCUCCUCUCUCUCUCAAAAAUAAACACUUAAAAACAAAACAAAAUAUCAUUACUCGUAUGCAAUCUGUGCUUUUCUUCCACUGGGCUAAAAGGAACCUUUGGAAAUUUCCUAAAAUAGAUUUAGGAAGGGCUCUCCUAAAAACAUACACCCCUGUAGGCUUUUCUAGUUUUGCAGCUUCCAAAGGCAAGAAGGGACCUGCAAAGAACAGCGCCACCAGCAGCACGCCUGGAAAACUGCAGGCCCUUCGGGGACCUGGCCCUCUGGGGUUUGGCUGGGUUCCCAUGUCUCUUCCUCCUCUAACUGGUCUUGUGGUGCAGCUCGGCCCCGCCCUGACUUCCCGGUGCCUUCACGUUCAGAAAUUUGAUCUGUAUUUCUGGGCUUUGAAGUCUGAGGAGUCCCGUGCAGCACCCCGAGCUCCUCAGAAGAAAGCUGCCAUAAGAACUUCAUACCUGUGAACGUCUGCACCAGGGCUUCCAUUAACAUGACCAACAAAGUUACCACUGCAGCGCAAAAACCCCAAAAUUGGCACGUGGGUUACUUGGAGAGCUCAAGACAGCUUCGGUCACGAGUUUUCAAAACCUGUUCAAGUUCUCUCGACAGACCCGCUCAGAAAUCAAAGGCUAUCGCUGCUGCACUUUGACGUACAACGCAGCGUGAAGAGGCACAGUCUUCAAAAAUAAUUCAGAGGAAAAUGGCACUUAGGAUUCGAUCUCAAGCCGAGUACCACCCAGACAUGUAACGGUACUCAGAGAUCAAACAGACGCCCCUCAAGUCUGGCUCCCCUCUCUCGCCUCUGAUCCCUGCCACCUGCCCACUGCCAUCAGUCUCUACGCUGUCACGGUCACUCGCGGUCCUACUCAGAAAACGUCACUGGCAGCCUCACUGAUCCUCAGGGUCGUGCUCCGGCUUCACGCUGGCCUGCUCUUCAGGUUACCGUGCCACCGCCUCAUGUUCACCACACUGAGCUUACUGACCGUGACCCGAAUGCAUCCUGGGCGCUCCCACCUCUGACCGCCAUCUGCCGCACUUCCGCUCCUGCUUCAAAACCCAGUUCACACGCCACCACCUCGUUCACGAAGCCUUCCCGACCUCCACAAACCGACUCCUCUCUCCUGGCCCCGUACCGCUCUAGCCGAACAGGCCGUUCCCUCACCUCAUCCCAAGGUACUGCGAACAAGGGUCUCCCCCAGCCCCCCAGAUGAAGCUGUGAGCUCCUCCAAGAGACCCGUCCUUAUGAAUCUCUUCCCACCGGGCCGUCGCAGGCAGCCAGGCCCACCAGGCAGCUCUGAGAAUAGUUGUGAAAUGCAACCCGUCUUCCUUUCCAUUGUGCUUUCAUCCCCAAAGUUCAUGAUCAGACGACUGAAAUUAGUCCAAGUAAAUGGAACUUUACUCGUAAGCAUUUCUGUCUCUGGCCCCCCUGCCUCAUUAACAACGACCCCCACACCCGGGUAACAUACCACUGCACUAAGAAUAAGCACAUGAACUUGAGUCCCACAGCACAAUCUCUUGGACACGGAAGCCACAAAGACACAAGUAUUAGUUCAUCCAUGAACAGACGGCUAGCUUCAAAGGGCCUCUCCUGGGGGUUGGCAUGGAAGCGGUCCUCAGACCACAGCCCAACAUCAACUGAAACGGAGACCAAGGUUCAUCCACGGUCUAGCACCAAAGACAUCCUUGUGGAAAGACGCCGGAUUACCUAACCUUCUGUCUGCAUUCUAAUCCUAGCAGGGCAAACUGAAAAAACAGGUGCGCAUUGGCUGUCUUGAAAAUAAAUAUGGGAGCUAACAGAUUUUUCCCUUUAAGUCACUUAGAAACUCUUUAGAAACCAUGGGUCACUUUUGCAUUGUAGUUUACUGUGAGUCCUGUUACACGGCUGAAACCGUAACAAUAUGGGGAUAUUCUCCCCAUCAGCAUAGAUCAUUCUGGAACCCUAUCACUCUUCCCUCUUUUUCUCCUAGGAGGUGUCCUCCCCCUGCCACAGCACAUCUGCAUGCCGUCAGAAUCCGCAUUAACACACGGGGUAAAAGGGAAAAAAAAAGUGAAGGAAAUGGAAGAGAAACUCCGAGUGCAGCUUCAGGGCAACAUGCUUCCUGCGUGUCAGUGCCCUGUGUCCGAGGGGCCCGGGCACCAGCGACGAGGAGCACGGCAGCCGGGCCCUCAUGGCGCUCAACCCACGGCCCAGCGGAGGACCGAGCCACUCACAAGAGGAACGGGCGAGCCCGGGGAGGGCUGGGGGACCCAAGUGCAGAGGGGCACACCGAAGCAGAUUCGGCCUUGCUGUCACAACCACCCAAACUCCUCACAGCUUGAUAACAGCACCGAAGCCUGCAACAAAACCCUCCAAAGCAGCAGCCUUCCAGAACCCGAACACGGUUCUGGGAGCCAGUCUUCUACGAUCAUGCCAAACCAUUUCUGACGCCUCCACAGGCCAAAUACAAUGAAUCCCACCAGAGUCUGUCUCCAAUCCCUGCAGGCGACAAAAAAAAAGUCAAAACACAUGCCUAACACUUACCAUGUAAUAAAAUCUUUUUGCGAGGGUAUGGAUGAGGAUUAUUUUGGCUGCAGCUGCGGUUCCAUACAGACAGACGGACACGUAGAAGUGGUUAUACCACGAGAGAGACCGUCCGAUGAGAGAGACGAACACCGCUAUAAUGAGCACGGUAACCAGGCUGGUGAACCAGCUCACGAGAGUGAUGCCGAGCCCGCAGAAGAAGUCCUUCGUGUAGUUACCAGCUGGAGACACAACACAACGUGGACGUCACCAGCUUUAUCAAACCAGUCUCACAAGCAGUAGAGUCAAAAGGGCAAACUCAAAACAAGGCAAAACAAAACAUCCAGCACUGUAACUGCAAAGUACUGAAAAGGCCCUGGGGCGAGGUUUAUGACAAACCCGAACAGGGAAGGUUACUGACGAGUCAUAACCAUGUAGCGUUUACGGGGAGUCUGCGGGCGCCAAACACCCGGGGACAGAAGGGGCCAGGAGCGGCUCCGACACACUCCUGACCAGGAAAGCAGAGAGCUCUAGCCUUCGCCACCUUUGCGAUGCUCUGCGUACGGAAACACCGGCCCGAACGGAAGGCAGAGCUCCCCGUGAAAUCGUGCCCGGAAGCUAAGGCCGGCGCGGCGGGGCUGGCGAAGUAACCGGGGUAAACUGGGCUGAACCGCGCCGCCCGCGCGCGUCACCUCGUCACGGCCCAGACCCGCUUCGACAAUGAAACGUUCUAAGGAGAAGGAAACCAACGUAACCGCACUUGCUGGAGUCGGUGCGCUCACGCCCGGUGUGAUGGGCGCACGAGACUUUUCAACGGGAGUUUUCACUCAGUCAGUGUGUACAAACCACUUUUCGAUAGCCCCUCUGUGGUGCUUCUGUGUAUUAGGUACACAAAAACAUCUGCUGCCCCAAGACCAGAAGUGUAACGGGCACGUCCAUCUGAUAUCCAUUUGCGAACGUCUUCCGAUAUACAUCAAAUGUUGUUUUUCUUUAAGAUUUUAGGCUUCCUGAAAAACUUCACGCAGAUUCUUACACCCAGGCCAGUAUUGCAGUUUUAGAGAAAAAUACUUACUCUUCCGUUGGGGCCGCAACCAUUUUUUGCCCAGGUACAACACUGCGGCCAUCACCACCAUGUAGUUAAUUAUGGAGCCGACGCGAGAGGGGUAGGCAAUGACAAAUAGGCCAAGCACGUCAAAGAAGACCAUGUGUCCAUGGCGAUACUUUGAAGAAGAAGGCAACACAUCCGACGUAGCUAGAUAUUUAAGAACCGCUAAAAUGUUGUCACCUAUCAGUAAAGAAAAGAAAGACAACAGAGUUGAAUAAGCCACGCACUGUUUGACAGAAUGUGAACGACAACAGUUUCCCACCCUCUCCAUCUCCCCCCGGCCACCUUUCUCAUGAAAUUUCUCAGAUGAGGCCCAGGGCUCCGCUCUGUCUCCUCUCCACUCGGAAGCUCGGCCACCUGGCCUUCAUCUCUCCUUUGUCCCAGAACUAUCCUUUCCCUGCUGUUAUCGAACCCAAACACUGCUGCUCACUCUGUUCACUUAACGGGUAUCUCACGUAACAGCCACCGCUCUGGUUGCCAGAAAUUCGGUGCCGACCCAAGAGACACAAAGCCUGUCAGGAGGCCCACAGGCACCGAACAGGGAAUCACACAUGCCUUAAGAAUAAUGAGUGUCGAUUCUGUCUCAACUCAAUAAAGAGAAGUACGGGCAUCCCGUGGAGUCUGAGAGGUUAGGGAGGCCUUUCUGUGUAGACGCUCCUUGUCAAGCGCUUCCGUCCAGGCCGCCACCACGAAAGGACAAUGGGAGCGCCCGCCCACACGGACAGAUCAAGUCCCAAACGAGAGUCCAGGGGCAGAACCAGACUCCCCAGAGGUGUUCGCUCACCGACAGAGCGGAGAAGUCUGAACCGAAUACAGGGGCAGCGACAGGCCUUGAACCACCGACUGGCGGCCCCCCUGCCGCUCAUCCCACCCCUUCCUCCGCCAUCCACUUACACACCACACUACCUUAUCGUGGCAUUUGUGUCACUGGCUUGUCUGCCUUCAGAUAUGCUUUCCCCAAAAGCUCAGGCUGAGUCCUCUGUUCCAGAAACCGUUCCCAUUCUCCACGCGUUUGUGGCUUCCUCCAAGUCCUUCACGCCCACACCCGCGUUCCCAGUUCGACCAAGCGCUCUCCCGCCACAGCGCGAUUUCCACUGGGCCGCUUCACAGAGCCCCCGUCUCCAUCGGACGGAGUUCACGUCUCCUCCCUCCACGACUGCUCCGGGUCAGGUCACCUCCCCACGUUCCUAUUACAGCCGAUGGCACGUCCUUCCCCAGCCAGCUGGGCCCUACACUCCGCAGCCGUCCCUGCUGCUGGCCACCUGACCCGUCCCUUCCUUCUGACCGGGUAGCUCUUCUGCGACUUCCAUUCAGACCGCAGUCUGCCACUCUCCUCACCGACGGUCCACACGUACACACACACACACACACACACACUACUCUCGCUCUGCUCUUGCCCGGAGCAUCCUCUUCUAUGCGGGGUGGAGCCACAUCCUACCAACUUGUGAGUUAAGGUUCACGGUCAGCCUCCCCUCCCCUGACUACUCCAGACCCCUCUGAAAGUAUGUGGACUCCCUUGCCCUGUGUGGUCCUGACACUCAUUCUAGAACCCACUCACCUGCCCUCAUACGUGACCUGGACUGAUGGAACUUUUCUCCACCUGGGCAAACUGCCCAGACACGUGCCUGUACCUCCUCCGACACAUGCCUUCCAUUCUGGCUACAUGCCCGUUGCUCAGCAAUCCUACGUUAACCCUGGGCCCGCUCUCUUUCCAGUGCCUCACCACCAACAAUCUUAUGUUCUUAGUUGCUAAUCUAGACUUCAAGGCUAAAAUUCGGGCCCUCAACUCUAACUGCAAAGCCCCACCCGGCUCACGCACACCACAGGCCGCCUCCCUGAAGCACAGUCCCCGGGGAUAUUUACAGGUUUGCGGGUCAGCCCUAACAUUCCAUCUUAACACAGAUCACGAGUUUACAUUUGAAUACCAACCUGCUCUCUGAAUGGAAUCUGUCAGAAUUCUGUCUGCUGUGUCGUACUUGGUGUGAUAGAUGUAUCCGUUCUCAAUAAAAGCUAAGUCAAUUCCUAAGACACACAGGAAAAAACAAACAAACAAAAAAACACGUCAUUUUGCUUUAAAGAUCAACCUUUCUUUAGGCCUAUUUGGUUAAUGUAUCAAAUUCCAAAAAGACAAAACGUCAAAGCAGUGACGUGACUGCUUGGUCACACUUGUGAAUGAAUACCAUAUAAAUUCUCUUCCAAAUUCUUACAGAAUCUGUAGCCAUGGUACAUAAUGACCGAGGAAGUACACAUGUCGGGGAGACAUUGUAAGUCACACGGCAAGGGGUGGGAACACAGACCUCAGGAGGCCAUCGAAACUUCGCCAUUUCCAGCCCUGCCGGGCCAAGCCGAACUCCAGAUUCCCAGCAGCGGCACAAGCCGCCAGGGGAACUGGCAAAGACAGACCACAGGCAAAGUCAAAGGCCCCUCAAGGAGGUACUGCCACCUGUGGGGAAUGAAGUGCUAACCAGCUGCCCCCCCCACCCCCGUCCUGUUCUGCCGCAGUGUGGGGCAAGAUGACAUGUUCUAGAAAGGCAAGCAUUUAAGUAGACCAGAGUUUAAAAGGAAAAAAAAAAAAAAUGCCAGGAAAUCAGUUUCAGUGAGUCAGAAUAUACAGUUCUCCCGUAGAAAACAUGCUUUCAGAAAAAGCUGUUUACUCACAAACUCGCAAAAAACAAAACUCACUACUGGUUAAUUGCCGUCACGCCACAGCCCACGACAAAUACCUGGUAUGUUCCCAAAAUCCCUGUAGAUGCGGAAGUCGGUAUCUGAAGGAAUGAUCCCACUCUGGAAAACCUCCUGGGCCACCACUGAUGCAAACGGGUGUUUAGCGGCAGAAACAUAGGCCUGGACCAGCCACGGGUUUUCAGGACCUACAAGGACAGGCGAGGACUCAGGCAAGGGAACGUGGUCAUGUUUUAACACACCCAAAACGGUCCUGCGGUGGUCUGGGGAGGCAGGUCCAGACUUUGUUUUCGUCUUUUUUUCUGUGUUUUCUAACACUUCUCUGAUAAGCGUAUGCAACUUUCACAAUGAGAAAUCACCUUUCAGAAAGCAAAAUUAUUUUUAAUUAUAAAGUGACUGCACUAUGAAAAGUUUCAGUUUAAAAAUGAGAACCCACACAACAGUCCAUCAUUCUACGACAAGUACUGUCACUUUUCCAUCUUCAGUUGUCCUACAAACAUCUGGUUGUGUGUACACAGCUGUACUCACAGGGCACGUGCAGUCUGUCCACUGUGCUUUCGUUUAACAGACUGAACACGUUCUCCUGAGUUGCCAGGUACUGCAAUUACCAUUUUAAUAGCUACAACUUUUCUCUGAAAACACCCUAAGUUUUGUAUUAUUACCGUUUAUAUUUUUGAUCAUUAUUCAUAAUUCCGCAUGACAUCUUUAAGCACAUACGGCUUUUUCAAAUGCGGGAGAUUUUUCUUUGGGACGGUGAGAUAAACUGUAUUAUUGCUCGCGGCUACUCUGCUCCCUCCCACGUGACUCAUCACGCCUCCCGCAGAAGGAGCACGUCCACAUCCUCACCCUGUUCCCUGCAGGUGCGGCCCUGGAAACUGGUCUGGCCAACAGAUGUGAGCGGAGAAACAUGACCCUCAGCUGAGAAGAUGCUCAGGGACCAUCACACAGUCCCUCCCACCUGCUGACUUUGGCCAGGAGAUCAAUAUGUCCCUGAUGGACGCUUCUCCUUUAGUCUGGGUCCCAUAACGAAGGGCACACAUGGAACAAAACCACGGAACGUUCGUAACCACAGUUAUUCAGGAACCAAAACGUACUGAACAAGAUAUAAGCCUUUGCUGUUGUAAUCCACUGAGAUUCAGGGAUUGUUUGUUCCAACAAAAUUUAGCAAAAAGUUGACUCUGAUGGGCACAUCAAGUCAUUGUAUUUCAGGCAAUCUAAGAAUAUCAAGAUGUUUAUAACUUUAUAAACAAAUAAUCAAAUUGCUUUCCUACUGAAAAAAUGAUCAUAAAAGGUGGAGAUGGGGUGGAGUGUAACACUACAAAACCAAACGCCCAGGUGACCCAGAUACUCGUCACCAGACACGGAUUUUAAAACAACUAUGAUGAAUAUGUUCAGAAACACAGCAAGAAUUUUACAACUGCAA
Leopardus geoffroyi (Geoffroy's cat) is the source of this 15907-nucleotide RNA transcript. It is a transcript of the gene named RIC1 homolog, RAB6A GEF complex partner 1, with no coding region annotated. The record is from RefSeq and is a predicted model, not a curated record. The transcript has 28 exons. Lineage: Eukaryota; Metazoa; Chordata; Mammalia; Carnivora; Felidae.